AGAGUUUGAUCCUGGCUCAGGAUGAACGCUGGCGGCGUGCCUAAUACAUGCAAGUCGAGCGAACAGAUAAGGAGCUUGCUCCUUUGACGUUAGCGGCGGACGGGUGAGUAACACGUGGGUAACCUACCUAUAAGACUGGAAUAACUCCGGGAAACCGGGGCUAAUGCCGGAUAAUAUUUAGAACCGCAUGGUUCUAAAGUGAAAGAUGGUUUUACUAUCACUUAUAGAUGGACCCGCGCCGUAUUAGCUAGUUGGUGGGGUAAUGGCUUACCAAGGCAACGAUACGUAGCCGACCUGAGAGGGUGAUCGGCCACACUGGAACUGAGACACGGUCCAGACUCCUACGGGAGGCAGCAGUAGGGAAUCCUCCGCAAUGGGCGAAAGCCUGACGGAGCAACGCCGCGUGAGUGAUGAAGGUCUUCGGAUCGUAAAACUCUGUUAUUAGGGAAGAACAAAUGUGUAAGUAACUGUGCACGUCUUGACGGUACCUAAUCAGAAAGCCACGGCUAACUACGUG
This 517-nucleotide ribosomal RNA is filed under the name uncultured Staphylococcus sp. RNAcentral describes it as "bacterial SSU rRNA". It matches the Rfam family "Bacterial small subunit ribosomal RNA", at positions 8 to 507 of the family's 1533-position model. The record is from RNAcentral. Lineage: Bacteria; Bacillati; Bacillota; Bacilli; Caryophanales; Staphylococcaceae.